This 204-nucleotide ribosomal RNA is filed under the name uncultured bacterium. RNAcentral describes it as "partial 16S ribosomal RNA". It matches the Rfam family "Bacterial small subunit ribosomal RNA", at positions 335 to 528 of the family's 1533-position model. The record is from RNAcentral.
ACUCCUACGGGAGGCAGCAGUGGGGAAUAUUGCACAAUGGGCGCAAGCCUGAUGCAGCCAUGCCGCGUGUGUGAAGAAGGCCUUCGGGUUGUAAAGCACUUUCAGUUGUGAGGAAAGGUUAGUCGCUAAUAAUCAGGCUAGCUGUUGACGUUAGCAACAGAAGAAGCACCGGCUAACUCCGUGCCAGCAGCCGCGGUAAUACGG